RNAcentral lists this long non-coding RNA (769 nucleotides) under Homo sapiens (human). RNAcentral's name for it is "non-protein coding lnc-GJE1-7:1". Lineage: Eukaryota; Metazoa; Chordata; Mammalia; Primates; Hominidae. The record is from RNAcentral.
AUAAUAAGUUUGGAAGGUCCUGAAAUUUUAUUUUCUUUUCCCAAUAUGGUAAUCUGUUUUUUUCCUUCAUGAGAAUAAACACAAACUCAUGCCUUCUCUAGAAUGAAAGACACUAGUCCAAUCAGUUGCAGUGUAUCUUUAGGAAAGUGCCCAGCAAUGAACUCACUGAACACUGAACUGAAAGUUUUAGUAAAGUUACAUGGGGUAGCUGCCUUGAAUAUACUUGCAGCAGGGCUCCAACUACAGUGACAAAGAUGAACCAAGGACCCCAGCUACAGUGCUCUGAAAUCCAUGACGGCAUUUGCAACAAAACCAAGCUUCCUACAGACUGACGGUAACCAGUAACUGAACCCCAGAGGAAUGAGGUGUUUCCCCCAAUAAAAUCUUUACCUGCUUUGGUGUCUACAUCUCAGAAGACCAAGACCCAAGACUAGCACCACUGAUACCAGGAGUAGCCCAAGAAUGCAAGUGGUAAUUUGGGGAUGGCUCACUCCUUUCCCUGACACAGAAGAAGAUGCCAUUCUGUCACAAGGUGAUGACUCAUUGUUACAGCUUUUGACAGUGUGACCUGGAAAAAUGUCCAGGGGUAGGAAAUGCUGCAGCAUGUGCAAAAAUACAGGCACCUAGAAAACAUGGGGAGAAAGGGAAUGCCUAAAAGGACAGCAACAUUGGUUGGUUACUACUAAAUUGUAUUGACACUCUGCAAAGGCAUGGUGAAAUAGUGAGUGAUCUUAACAAGUAUUUAAUAACUACAUGUGGGUUUAGGUGG